This 851-nucleotide small RNA is filed under the name Pan troglodytes (chimpanzee). Its description in RNAcentral is "processed transcript". Lineage: Eukaryota; Metazoa; Chordata; Mammalia; Primates; Hominidae. The record is from RNAcentral.
UGGAGGGGGAGACUCUUCACACAUUCUACACCCAGCUGGUGUUGAUGCCCAAGGUGAUGCACUAUGCCCAGUACGUCCUCCUGGCGCUGGGCUGCGUCCUGCUGCUGGUCCCUGUCAUCUGCCAAAUCCGGAGCCAAGGUCCUGAGGACACCGUGAGCCAGCCAGGCCUGGCCGCUGGGCCUGACCGGCCCCCCAGCCCCUACACCCCGCUUCUCCCAGACUCUCCCAGCGGACAGCCCCCCAGCCCCACAGCCUGAGCCUCCCAGCUGCCAUGUGCCUGUUGCACACCUGCACACACGCCCUGGCACACAUACACACAUGCGUGCAGGCUUGUGCAGACACUCAGGGAUGGAGCUGCUGCUGAAGGGACUUGUAGGGAGAGGCUCGUCAACAAGCACUGUUCUGGAACCUUCUCUCCACGUGGCCCACAGGCCUAACCACAGGGGCUGUGGGUCCUGCGUCCCCUUCCUCGGGUGAGCCUGGCCUGUCCCGUUCAGCCGUUGGGCCCAGGCUUCCUCCCCUCCAAGGUGAAACACUGCAGUCCCGGUGUGGUGGCUCCCCAUGCAGGACGGGCCAGGCUGGGAGUGCUGCCUUCCUGUGCCAAAUUCAGUGGGGACUCAGUGCCCAGGCCCUGGCCACGAGCUUUGGCCUUGGUCUACCUGCCAGGCCGGGCAAAGCGCCUUUACACAGGCCUCGGAAAACAAUGGGGUGAGCACAAGAUGCCCUGUGCAGCUGCCCGAGGGUCUCCGCCCACCCCGGCCGGACUUUGAUCCCCCCGAAGUCUUCACAGGCACUGCAUCGGGUUGUCUGGCGCCCUUUUCCUCCAGCCUAAACUGACAUCAUCCUAUGGA